GGUACCUUGGCUUUGUUGGUUAAAGUACCUGUCUAUUAAACAGGAGAUCCUGGUUUCAAACCCCAGCAGUGCCU
Molecule: non-coding RNA, 74 nt
Organism: Cricetulus griseus (Chinese hamster)
Lineage: Eukaryota; Metazoa; Chordata; Mammalia; Rodentia; Cricetidae
Source: Rfam